GCUCAUCACCCCAACUUCACGAGUGGUCACCUCCUACUCACCUGUGGGACAAGAAGGAUUGGAGAAGACUCGCUGGGGGGCAGAUGUGCUCAGAGGAGAGUGGGAAGAAGAUCUCCUUUUGCCGCUACUUCCCAGUCGAUGGAUUUAUCACUGGCGCGACGGUAUUUUAGUUAAAAAAAAAUAAAGGCGAGUGAAGCAUGG
Molecule: long non-coding RNA, 201 nt
Organism: Hippocampus zosterae (dwarf seahorse)
Lineage: Eukaryota; Metazoa; Chordata; Actinopteri; Syngnathiformes; Syngnathidae
Exons: 3
Source: RefSeq, a predicted model, not a curated record